ACGAGUCUCUGCCAUGAUCGCACGUGCAGCUGGAGAGUUGAGCUGUAAUGGGGAAACUAGAAAACAAGGCACGUGUUUCUUAUAUGGGAAAUGUCAGAUGAUGAUAAUCUGAGUCAAAUCCGGAGUUUUUUUUAUUUAAAACUGUUAACAAGUUCAUUAAAACCACUUGCGCUUCCUUCAUAUUUGCGAGUCGACUCGAACGAGUCACCUGAAAGAGUCGUUACAAGCGAUUCUUCCGCGAGGUUCUCGUCUUCUGCAGAUCAAUUUUACCAGUCUUACUGUUUUCGCUUCACCCGAGAGGGGCUUUGUAGCCUCGACACAGACACAUCUCGGACCUAUUCUGUGAAUAAAGCCGCCUAAAAUGUCGCAUGCCGUUACAGAAGCGAUGAUCGAGUCCUAUGCUCUGAUGAUCUUGGUGAUGUCGACGUUCUUCGUUUACUUCUGUGGGAUGGUGUGGGCUUUCUGUAAUCCGAAGCUCAGUGGGAUAGAGGACGAAGACACACCAGAAUGUGAGAGCGAUCAGACCAACGAAGUUGCAGUGGAGCAGUUCUUUCACUCCGCUGGAGAGACGCAGAGGAGCAGAGGCUGCAGAGAGGGGCGCCCCGCUGACCUACCAUGGGCCCAGACUUGUGGAAGUCCAGUGCUUGUGGAGCAGUCUUCUCACAGCUGUUACAUUAACUCUUCUUAUGAUGUGGAUUGACCCACAAACCCGCUUUCACUUCUGUAGGCACCAGCAGUGUCAACGAAAGAGAAGCAUAAACUGUCAGCAGAGCUGUUUCUGAGGUGACCCUCAGCUUCUGAUUCCGUCCUCCUGCUUUUGCCAGCACAGUAGUAAUGACCUCCUCAGGAGGUGCUGCUUUCUUUCAGCAUUGUGGUUUCUAGCAGACUGAAGAGGCUGGAUGUUGAAGAUAUCUUUACAGUGGAGAACCACAUUACUGGAGCGUUAUUCUGUUCUUUUCACUACCGCUGCUCCAUCAUAGAAACAUUAGCUGCUGACUCAAAUGUCUAGCAGUAACAGAGCAUUUACUGAUCCACUUGUUUUACUGGAUGAUACAAAGACGGUAAAUGAUGUUCAGAACAAUUUCAGUCACUGAUAUAAGUCUUUAAGAAGUUUAGUAAGACCCCAUCUAGAAGCGUUUGUUUCAGAACUGAGCCAGAUUGGUCCUUCAGUUGUCUUGCGUAUUUCUCAAGGUGGUAUGGCUUUAGAUGGUUCUUCUAGGGUUCUUUAGGGAAAAAAAUGGUUCUAUUUAGACCCAUGAGUUAUAUAUAAAACAAUUUCAUGAUGUGUUGUAUAUGGUUCUAUAUAGCACACAAAGGUUACAUUGUAACAAUACCAGAACCGUUUUUGGUGGUAUAUAGAAUCAUAUACAACACAAUGGGUCAUCAAUCUGAAGAACCAUUCCAUGAAAAGGGUCUAUAUAGAACUCAUGGUUCUAAAUGGAACCAUUGCCUUUACUAACAAACUCUUUUCUAAGUGCGCAAAACUAACAGUUGACAAAACCCUAAACCACAAAAAAACCUCCCAUCAACCCUCUGCAAAGUGGAUUAGGGAUUAGAAAGAGCACUCUCUGUCUGUGGUCAGCCACUGGAAGGUGAUGACCCAGCAGACUCUCUAUCCACUAGCACUAGCUGUUCUCUAUCUGAUUUGGGCUCAUCUCUAACAAAAGGGCAACAUCAUCUUUAUACCAGCUACCAAAUGAGGCCAUAGGGGACAACCAGAAUAAUCAGAAAGCCGAGUCUGUCCAAAAAUGAUUAUUUUACUUGGAAUGUUCAGCGUCUGUUCAAGUUUAAACCAUCAAGGCACCACUUAUUUCUGAAUCUUGAUUCAUCAGUAUGCUCAAAUAAACAUUUAACUCUUGUAUUGAACACUGUAAUAACCAGUUUACAGAAACUCUAUAUGGUCCUCAGAUAGUAGUUAGGAUGGAAUUAGCAAGUAAAUACAAGGGAUACAAAGGCACAUCUGCAACAGAAUGUCUAACACUACAAGUGCUGUUUUAAACAAUGAAAACAUUCAAUUACAUAAAGGUCCUUAGUAAGAGGCUGAGGAGUGGAUCGUAUUUUAAACUGACAUUGUUUUGAACCUUUAUAUAUAUUUUUUUGAUAUUCUGAUGUCAUUA
Molecule: long non-coding RNA, 2117 nt
Organism: Pygocentrus nattereri (red-bellied piranha)
Lineage: Eukaryota; Metazoa; Chordata; Actinopteri; Characiformes; Serrasalmidae
Exons: 2
Source: RefSeq, a predicted model, not a curated record